This 7978-nucleotide long non-coding RNA is filed under the name Sus scrofa (pig). RNAcentral describes it as "lncRNA (ENSSSCG00005009194.1)". The record is from RNAcentral. Lineage: Eukaryota; Metazoa; Chordata; Mammalia; Artiodactyla; Suidae.
UGACCUACACCACAGCUCACGGCAACGCCGCAUCCUUAACCUACUGAGCAAGGCCAGGGAUACAACCUGCAUCCUCAUGGAUGCUAGUUAGAUUCAUUUCCACUGAGCCAUCAUGGGAACUCCCCAUUCCUGCAUUUAAUUAUGUUCUUCUUUAUACUGUUCUCCAGUUUAUUAUAUAUGGUCUCCCCAAAUACCUAAAUUCAGGACAAACAUAGUCUAACAACAAAACAACAACUCUGACUCUAUCAGUGGGAAUACUAGAAUAUCAUUUGUAUUGUACUUUAUAAAGUAACUGCACAUCCAUUAUCUCAUAAUUGAAUCCUCACAACCAUCCAAAAAGCCAGUAGAAUUUUUUUCAUUUUACCAAGCAAAUUGAAAGUGGAGAAGAGACUGAAUGAGCCAGGAUCACACAGCUCCUGAGCCAGGAUCACACAGCUCCUGAGCCAGGAUCACACAGCUCCUGAAUAACCUCUGUCCCCAGCAGAGCUCUGACCAGAAACUGGGGUGUCAGAAUCCCACUGACUGCUCAAGGCAGCUCUGGUCUGGGGUGAACAUCUCUAAGGAAUUCUACUGCAAUCACAGACAACCAUCUCUCCUGAAAUUAUAAAUGUUCCCCCUAUGAUAUAGUCUAUAAACAAGGAAGUAAGUGCUCUUCGUUCCCCCUAUGAUAUAGUCUACAGCCAAGGUAGUAAGUGCUAGUGAGCAUACCACCUCCUAAUGUGCUCUCAGAUGCCCAGUGUCAAUGCUCCACUCCUUCCCAUGUGAGUUUGGACAGAGAUAUUUCACCUGCUCUUGAGGGUCCAUGUGAGUAUCUCCUUCAGAUCUUUUUCAUCAAGAAGUCAUUGUCAGAGGCAUUCACUUCCCAAAUGGGACGUAACCAGGAAAGGCAUGACACUUGGUACCCAAGAAUGUGCCUCUCAUUGCUCUAGUCCCUGAGUUUGAGGCCUCCCUUAUAGAGCUCCUGAAACAUACAUGAUGUAUACAAGCACAUUUUUGCUGUUAUUCUGGCAGAGAACUGCUCCUGCAUCAAUUCUCUCCUGGUGGGAGUUGGAAGGUUCCAGAUAGUCUUGAUGAAAGACUUGUCCGGACUAAGAGCCUGAACAAUUGACAUUUUAUUUACAUGGCUGAUACUGAAUGAAGUUCAAUACUUAUUGAUUCUUGCUUGUUUGCUAAGGGCCAUGAUGUACAAAAUGUGCUAUUAAAAAAGGAAAAUUUAUUUAUUAGACUAUAAAGAAUAGAAGCAAUUGAGAGCCUGACAAUCCUGUAUACAGGACAAUCAUUCUGUCCCUUUAAUUCAUCGUAAGACAAAUGUUAAACACAGUUAAGUGGCAACCCACCACUUCCGGUGGAGCACUUGGGAAUGUAUGCACUGUUGCAGGGAGAAGAUGGAUCAACUCAGUUUUAUCCACUCUUUCACCAUUGCUUUGAACAUGAUGCCAAGGGAAGCUAGAACUUCAUUCUGCCUAACAAAUCACCCUGACAGUGCAACAUGGAAAGUUUCUAAAUGGGAGGAACUUGAUUCUUGAAUAGAAAGGGAGUUGUCAAGUUGAUUCAGGAUCUUAGCACGAACGAACUGAGAGAUAGGUAUGGCUCCCACGCAAGAUUCCUGCAACUCCCUAAGGCAUACACAGUCAUUUGCUUAAGAUUUUUUAUAUUUCUGUUAUUGUGCAACAGAAGAACUGGAUAUAUCUAUGGUGACUUCAAGUUUCACAUUUUGACUGCCUGCAGAAUGAAGUUCUAGCUUCCCUUGGCAUCAUGUUCAAAGCAAUGGUGAAAGAGUGGAUAAAACUGAGGCAAAGGAAUAACAAGUAAUUCCACCCUGUUUUAAAAAGCAUAGAUAGGGAGUUCCCAUUGUGGCUCAGUGGUAAUGAACCCAACUAGGAUCCAUGAGGAUGCACGUUCAAUCCCUGGCCUCGCUCAGUGGGCUAGGGAUACAGCAUUGCCAUAGGUCACAGACGCAGUUCAGAUCUCGAGUUGCUGUGACUGUGGUGCAGGCCAGCAGCUACAGCUCCAAUUCAACCCCUAGCCUGGGAACUUCCAUAUGCCACAGGUGCGGCCCUAAAAAAGAAAAAGGAAAAAAGCCAUAGAUAACUGACAAUGGAAAUUAUUUGAAAAGGAAAAUACUGCAUGACAGGCUGUCCAUGACUACGGUAAUUCCAUACCUUUACCAAAAAUUGUGUGUGUAUUUCUUUGAAUUUGCCCAUAGAAUCAUUAAUAUUUAUAAAGGGGAGAAGAGAUAAAAUUGUUUUACCUUGAGCCAUAAUAAUCAAAGAGAUCUGCUGUAAUUUGGUUCUCUGCUCUGAAUGUUUCCAGUCAACUAAAGCAGUAAUCUAAUUCAUUCUGAUUAUCUGAGAAUAGCUUUUUGAAAUAGCAGCAUCAUUUCAGUUGAGUUCUGAUCUUGCCUUACUUUUGUUAAUAUCAUUUGAUAGACCCAUAACUACUAAUUUUUGGAUAUUAGUUCAAUUUUAUUUUGUAAUGAUUUGUAUUUGGCUUCAUUUUAAUUUGGAAAAGGCUUAUUUCUUUUUUUAAUUAAAAGAGGAAAGAAUAACUAAUGCCUUAAAAGUCUGCAUUUUAAAGAAAGUCAUCCACAGAGAAUCAGAGAAAUGAAAACAUCACUUUUCAAAGGGUCAGCCUGGCCAAACUCUGUGAGGCCUUGAGGCCAUGAGAGCUGGUAGGUUUCCUUGAGUCAAAAGCAAUGUGAAAUCUACUGGUAACUAACAGAGGGGGUUUGCUUGCAAACAGUAUGACUACAGCUAUAACUAUCUUAAAAUAUACCUACAGAUAUGAAUUUUAUUUAAUUAAUGUCUCUAUGUCCUAUACAUAUCUACCUUUCACAUAUAUGUUAAAUAUAUUUAUUUAAUGCUCUCUAGAUAAGGGCACAAAGCUCACUGUUAAAAGGAUAGGACAAUGAACCAGACAGGGAAUUUGUCCUUAAGAGAAGGGAAAGCUAAAAUUUUGGGGACUCCUACUAUGGGUCAUACCCUAGACUGCAUUUCUGCUACAAUUAUAAUUGUUGUCAAGAAAAAUGGUGAGAAGUCAUGUGACUUCUCUCAGCUAAGUUAUAAAAUGACUUUUAAGUUUUCUUUUAAUAUAUCUUCAUAACUGUUAUCUUCACAUUUACCAUCAUCCCUUCCCUUUCUUUAUUCUGAAAUUCAGUUAUCCAGUUUCUUUUCUCCCUACCCUACCCCCUUCACUAUUGUUUUUAAAGAAUUCAGUCAGAGAUUUGCACUGAAGAGGUUAUUUCUGGGUAUCUACUGCUGUAGCCAGGGUGGGGGAGUGUGGGUAGGCAGAGAAAAACCUGACUCCAAGUACAGGCGUUCCUUUGUACCUCAGUGGACAAUCAACAGACUAACUCAGGAAAGAAAUUCCAAGAAUAGCUGCCUUAAUAGGUGAAAAUUAGCAGGAGGGGUAGGACAGAAAGAACAAAAAGAGAGGCUAUAUAAAUGCACUUUGUAAAUUCUUUCUCUUAGAACCUACACAUUACUAUUAUUAUAUUUAUUUAAGCAAAAAUUUAAAUCACUAUUUAAAUGCUAGGUGUCUCAAUUUUAAAUCCUCUUAGUUCUGUUUAUCAUGGGAGGAAGGAGACCUUAACAAUCAAACUGUCCUCCUAUCAACAAUUCAAAUGAUAUUUUAAGAGUUAUUCAAUAUAUUUGGUUAUUAGAUGGGUUUACUGGAAAAAUAAAAUAAAAAUCAGUGGCUGAUCAUUUCCGUUUUUAAGUCAACACUGCAAGGAACAUUUAUGCAGAUGAAAUAUAUUUGCAAUAACAGUGCUUUGAAAUAAAUGCUAUUAAGAAAGCUUAGGGAAUGAUUAUAUUUUAUUUCAAUAGAAGGAACAAUUGAACUCUGCUCUUGUCUUCUGUUUCAACAUCAUGUCUCUCUGUCCCUCCUCCUCUUGUAAUAAAUAUUCUCUUGCCAGCCCUGUUACUGACAAUAAUGUAGGUGAACUCUGCACCAUGUACAUCUGUCAUUAUUAAUGACCAUGGGAGAGAGAAACGAUAACUCACUCUUUUCGGAACCAAGAGGGCAAAACACCAUAGAAAUUUCCUUCUGUGUUUUCUGCCGCUAGAAUACCUGCAUUUAUCUUUUCUAAAUUCACCAAUAAGCUUCCAUAUUCAGAAUAACACAUUUCUAACUUCAAUUGCAAAAUACUGUCAUAGAGAAGACACCUGUUGCUGUAUGAAGGUAUUUAUGAAAACAAUACUUGUUUUAGGUAUACAAUACAUAAAACCCUUUUAAAGCUCACACUAUAAAGAAAGUUAUGGUAGAAAACAUUUCUUUUACUCAGAGGCUUAAAUAACUUUCAAUAUGACUAGGCCACAGAAUGCCCUUACUAAAAUACUUAUUCUAUUCACUAAGUUUAUAAAAGGAUACAUUUAUUUUAAAUUAGGCCUUUCAGGUAUUUUGUACUUGAAUUCUGAAAGAAGUCUUAAACUACUAUGUUUUUUAUUAUCAAAAUAUAAACUAAAUGCUAUAGAAACAAAGUAAAAGAUAGAGAUAAUGUGCUUCUUUAAGAACAAAGAGCCCUUAUUCACUUUUCAGAAAAAUCAGAGGAUGGUUGUGCUAAUACUGUGCUGGAAAAUAGACACAAAACUCUGCAUUAGCUACUUUUUAGUGGAAGCACAGAUAACACUCUUUAAAAAAAAAAAAUAUAUAUAUAUAUAUAGAUAUAGAUAUAUAUAUACCACUUCAUGUAGACAUUUUAUUUCAAACUAAUUCUUAGGCAGCAGCUUUCUGUCUGUCCCCAAUUUUAAGCCACAUGCUAUUAACACCUUUUACUUCUCCUUAGCAUUGAUGCUGACAAAACAUUGUCAUGAAGAUUAUUUUGACUUACUGGAAAUGGACUUUUCCAGAACAUAAAGUUUAAGACUUCGAUAGACUGGGAGGGCUCUGUUUAAGCCACUAACAUGCUCUGCUAAAUCUCUCUUGUCUUCCCACUGGCUCUUUACACUGUCUAUUGAUAUGUGAAAUUCCAGAAAUAUCAGCUUUUGUCAACAUUACAGUCUGCACUACUAUUAGUAGCUUUUAAAGAAAGUAUAAAGAAAUAUUAGCAAAAAAUAACUUUUGUCUUUCAACAGAUGUUUAGAAGACAGUAAAAUAUCCACUAAUUUUAAACAUUCUCUACCCAAAUCUCAAACUAAAAUACAGUUUUCCAAAUGCAAUGCAAGGUAUAAAUGUAAUUCUAUAUGCCAAUGAAUACUACAGUAGUAACUCAAGAUUUUAUGUCUGUUUAAAUGAUAAAUCAUGCCAAACAGUAAGGAAACAAACCAAGCAAAAAAAAAAAAAAUACAAAAAAAGGAUAGUGAGAAGUGGGCCCUAUACACCCCCUGAAAAAUGUUAAACUCCUCUAGCUACUACGAGAUAACUUUAACCAACAAAGCCUUCAAUCUGAGAGAUGUUCUACCACCAAACUUUAAGGAAAAGAAUCCCCUUGAUUUUUAGGCCCACAGUUCAAUGAACAAGUCAAUAAAUCAACAAUAAUUAGUCACAUUUCCAAUUCUAUAAUAUUUAGCUGCCAGCCACCAAAGGCUGCACUCCACUUCAAAAUGAGUUUGUCUACAUUGAUUUUAAGAAAAAAAUAAAUCCAGUCAAAUAUGUUUGAUUUAAAAACUUAUAUGACGUCAUAUAAUCAUUUUGAAAUUGUCACUUCCAAUUUUGUUUUUGUUCCAAUGUAAAUAUACCAAAGGAAGGCCACAGGCUUUGUGUUGGGAGAAGGUCUCUUCUAUUUUAUCAAAUGAUCCUGGCACUUCUCUUAUUAUUAUAGUAGGAAACAGAGGAUGUGAAGUUUGGGAGAACAAGAAUGAGAGUUUUUCUUUACAAACUUUUCUCCCUCUGAGACUUACAAAUUUUCAAGGUGAAUCAAACCAUCCCACCAAAGUUCAUAGAGAAUAAAACCUGUUUGACUCCUGGGGUGUGGGGAGCUGUCGGGAGCACAUUUUUCCACUCCCCAAACUCCAUGACUGUCCUUACUUCUCCCUACCUGUUCAUGUUGGAUGAUAGAAUCAGGCCAAAUGAGUUUGUUUCCAUCUCUGCUACUGUUUUUACUUAAUAGCCUCCCCUCAUCAGUAUUAUAAAGGGGCCUAUACCUUAGUCCCAUGUAAAUUUUUUGUCACUAAAACUAAAAAAAAGUAUCAAUAAAUAUUUCAAGGACAUAAAAUCAUUCCAUUCAACAAACUGCUUCAAAUCAAAUUAGUCCGAAACACUUUAUCCUUAAAACUAUAAAAACAUUGUGAUACUAAAUAUUCAAUAUUAUCAGUCAGGCAAAUUGGCCCAGGUCAAAUGUGCAAAUUUUUAAAAUGAGAUUGCUAAAUUUCUCGCCCUGAUAGCUUCGUAAUAAAUAAUGUGCUUCUAUUCAAUCUGUACAUUAAGUCUUUUAUGUGGCCUUAAGGCACUCUCUGAUGGCUAUGCCCAUUACAAUGUAGCCAUAGAAACUGACACAUUUAUUUCUUGGAUUAGUGUGCCAUUGAAAAUAUUAAUAUGAUGCAGUAAAUGGGGAUUUAAUCUAAUCUACUGAUGGCAGGAUGAAGUUAGUAAAAGGUUGAGUGCCCUUAUGGAGAAAGAAAGAUUAUAUCUGCAGAGAGAAGCUUGUUAUUGGUUACAAAGAUCAACUAAACAGCCUAUGACAUAUUAUGCACUUUCUACAUUUAAAAAGACUUUCAGUCUCAGCUUGGAGGCUUUCUGCAGGCCAAAGAAUGCUUUCUCACAUACAUAUUUUAAAGAUUUCAGUAUCCAAGCUGAAACACCUUUUAUCUAUAAGCAUAAACAGAAAAGCACACCUCUCAUAACAUAUUGUGCGAAACAUGGCACCCUGGGUGAAACUGGUAUGACUCAAACCAUUUUUGUAAAAUUUAUUUGAUUUGAAGGCAUUUGCUUAGCCUUUCACCUCUGCCAAGGGUUAAAAAAAAAAACAAAAAAAAACACACACACACACAGAAAAACUUCAUCAAAGAGAGCCAAUUUCAUUUAAUAUGUUCUGAGAAAAUGCAGCUAAUCGUUAAUUUCAUUCAUUUCUAACUGGAAAUCAGAUAUCAACAAAUACUCCUUUUGUUAUGGACUAUAUCACAUUUGACUCUGAUGUCUCCUAGUAAUUCAUAAGAUUCUAGGUCUGUCCCCUCUUUACUCUGCAGCAAACUACAUAAAUUUCAAAGAUAUAUUCUGACAGAUGAGGCAUUGUUGAAAAGCAAAGUACAGCACUUUGUCCUUGAAAUGUUAACAUGUAAUGCCAUAAAGUAUUCAAAUAAUAAUUUACUCAAUCUUUCAGGGUAAUUAAUUAAAAUGCUGGAGAUGUUGGAGAAAAUCACCUUGAGCUUAUAAAACUGUAAAGCCCACCCCCUUCUUCUCUGCAUGCAAGCUGCCCCUGCAGACCUACCACAUGCUUUCCCAGUUAUGGGGUUUGAUUUCAGAAGAUAAUAAAUAGCCAGGAUCUAAUUUUGCCAUGUCACAACCGAUUAUGUUUCACAAGAAAAGGUGGAGAGCUCACCUACCAGAUGAAGGUGAAACAUAAAACCACUUUUAUUUAUGUCAUGUGUCUAAAUUCAACUCAGCCUGGUCCUGAGUACUGGGAGUGUGUAGACUUCCACUGUCAUGCGAAUUUAUGUACCUCAAGAAUGUGUCAAAUAUAAACAUAAAUUUAAUCAAAGGGAUGGAAACCUUUAUCACACACAUACACAAAAAACACAUUUUUGACAUCUAAUAUAAAUUAUUUUAAUGUGUUUUUUUACUACUUUUCAGAAGGUCACAAAGAAAGAAUAAGACAUUAAGCAGAUACAGCCUAUGGCUAUGUCUUAAUUCAGGUGAUGAUUAGCAGUGUAAUUGAGACCCAGACUCAUUUUUUAUUUUAUUUUUUUACUUUCAGAAGUUCAUUUCUCCUCACUAUCUUAAACAACUGUACUAGAAAGUUGCUGGAUUGUAACAACGCAAAGGAAAUUUUAUCAUAGGAAUUUAUAUUUCCAAUGGGAAUAAAAUCAGGCCUAAGUCUCUG